GAUGAACGCUGGCGGCGUGCCUAAUACAUGCAAGUCGAGCGAACGGACGAGGAGCUUGCUUCUCUGAUGUUAGCGGCGGACGGGUGAGUAACACGUGGAUAACCUACCUAUAAGACUGGGAUAACUUCGGGAAACCGGAGCUAAUACCGGAUAAUAUUUUGAACCGCAUGGUUCAAUAGUGAAAGACGGUUUUGCUGUCACUUAUAGAUGGAUCCGCGCUGCAUUAGCUAGUUGGUAAGGUAACGGCUUACCAAGGCAACGAUGCGUAGCCGACCUGAGAGGGUGAUCGGCCACACUGGAACUGAGACACGGUCCAGACUCCUACGGGAGGCAGCAGUAGGGAAUCUUCCGCAAUGGGCGAAAGCCUGACGGAGCAACGCCGCGUGAGUGAUGAAGGUCUUCGGAUCGUAAAACUCUGUUAUUAGGGAAGAACAAAUGUGUAAGUAACUGUGCACGUCUUGACGGUACCUAAUCAGAAAGCCACGGCUAACUACGUG
This 497-nucleotide ribosomal RNA is filed under the name uncultured bacterium. RNAcentral describes it as "partial 16S ribosomal RNA". It matches the Rfam family "Bacterial small subunit ribosomal RNA", at positions 28 to 507 of the family's 1533-position model. The record is from RNAcentral.